RNAcentral lists this long non-coding RNA (610 nucleotides) under Gossypium barbadense (sea-island cotton). RNAcentral describes it as "long non-coding RNA (GBAR_LNC002768)". The record is from RNAcentral. Lineage: Eukaryota; Viridiplantae; Streptophyta; Magnoliopsida; Malvales; Malvaceae.
CCUCCGACCAAACUGAACAAACAUAAAUCAAACAGACAGGAAAAAGAUGAUUAAAUCUUGGUCUAGUUGAUGAUUAUAUUAUAUAGUAUCAUAUAUAAUUAAGCGGUAAGCUGUUCCUCCUUGUGGGUCUCAAUAACAACAUCACUCUGAGGGUAAGCAACACAAGUGAGGACAAAACCUGCAGCAAUCUGGUCAUCAUCAAGGAAAUUACCGUCGGAUUGAUCGACGGAGCCUUGCUUAAUCAUUCCGGCACACGAAGAACAAGACCCAGCCCUACACGAGAACGGAAGAUCAAUGCCUUCUUCCUCAGCUUGGUCAACGAUGUAAACGUCGUCGGGGCACACGAAUUCUUGGGGUCCUUCGGGUGUUAACAGUGUCACUUUGUAUGCAGCCAUGGUGAGACGGCCAUUUCGUUGGGGUUUUAGCCCGAAAAGAGAUUGGUUGAAAGGAAGGGAGCUUAGGGUUUUCGGGGCCGGGUGGCCGCGGAGGAAAGAGGUGGUGGCUACGGCGGUGGAGAGGGAAGCUGUGGAGGCCAUUUUUUAAGUGGAAUUUUGAGGGUUUCAAUUCAAAGGCUAAACUGGCUAUGGCAGUGGUAGCUUUGCAAGGGGUG